GUUUUGGUCGUCAGACUGACUUGUAUGAUCGCAUUGAUCAAGCAUCUCUCCUCCGAGGAGAACAAUUAUUAAAAAUUCAGUCGCUCCAUACCUCUUCUGUUGAUGGAGGUGUCAGGUAUUUUUCAAUGAUUAGCGGUAACCUGAUUUCUUUCUAGCAUAUGUUUUUUUGUUCAAAUUGUUGCAUUUUUGGUUACGUCUGUUAUUUGUUCUCUCAAGACCUUUGUUAUUGUAAAACAACUGUACUUUGUCAAAACUUGCAAUAACGUUUGAAGGAAAGUUAUAUCUUACUGCA
This is a non-coding RNA of Camelina sativa (false flax), 292 nucleotides long. The record is from RefSeq and is a predicted model, not a curated record. NCBI's taxonomy places the organism in Eukaryota, Viridiplantae, Streptophyta, Magnoliopsida, Brassicales, Brassicaceae.